ACCACUAACAUGCUUUGAAUUAACAACUCAAGUUGAGUUAGGAAACUUGCACAAUAAUUAGAAGUUCAAGUUUAGGAACUUGCCUGUACCGUUGAUUACCGCUAAGCAAUCAAUUUAAUCUCUUAUAAAAGACCUAUCAUUAAUAAGAUCGAUCCUCCAAUUAGCAUAAUACAUUUUAUCCCACAACACUAUUACUCAAAUAAUAAAUUAGCUAACAUUUAGCCACAUAAUUAAACAUUAAAUAAUUCUUUAACUCAUUAGUAAUAUUAUUAUCCCUUAAUAAUAUUACUAUCACUUAUCCAUUAUCUUAAACUUUUGCCUAAUAUUCUUUUUAUAGAAUAUUUAUCAUUUACAAAUAUUAUUAAUCAUUUAAUAAUAUUUAAAUCCUUUACUAAUAUUAUUAAUCAUUUAAUAAUAUUGUAAUCACCUUCUAAUAUUAUUAAUCAUGUAAUAAUAUUUUACUUGUUUCAUAAAUAAUAAAGGUCUCACACAUUUUAAGAUGCAAAUAUUUUACACCUUGAAACUUAAACCAUUUAAAUUUCAUUUUAGAAAUAUCUUUUACCUCUACUCGCAAAUUCGGAGUUUAAACAGCUAAUGUAUAGCUUUUAUAGUAAAAAUCAAUUUACUAUAUUAUUUCUUCACUUUAAAUAACUUUUACUUCAGUUUGUCCGUUCAUGAGUCAACACUGACUAUUGCCUCAUAUAUAAACAUUUUAUCUCACUAGCACAUUCGCUUUAUUUUUCAUUUUACGAUUAUUCGCAUUUUUGCUUCGUUACGUAAAUCUCAGCUCAAAAACUUCAUUUUGAGCACCGAAAACCUCAAAAUAUCAUUUUUAUGAUUAAUACAAUAUUUCAAAGGUUUUACAUUCUUUGUUCCACCACAAAAUAAUUUUUAUAGGCAACUAUAUAAAUAUAUAUAUAUUUUUCGCUUAAAUAUGUAAUUUAUAUUUAUUACAUAUUUUUAUUGCUUUAUUUAUGCCUGAAAGAAAGUUUCUCGGCAUAAAAUAUUACUUAUAGUCAAAUUUCGCACCGUAAGACUUUAUUAUUUCUCUAUCAUAUGCCCAAACACAUAAUAUACUUCAUUGAAUAUCAAUUUCAACAAUUACAUUGAAAACUAUCAUAAAUUUCUUAUUAAAUCUCCUGUCAAAUAUUAUUAAUUAUGUAAUAAUAUUUUACGCUAAGGUUAUCAACCUUUUAAUUACAUUUCAAUCAAAUACUACUAAUAAUAUCUCACUACAAUACUAUUAGUCAUAUAAAAAAAUAUCUUAAGUCAUUAAUCACUUAAAUAAACAAUUAUUUCAAUUGUUUUCCUUCCCGUAAUUAAUAAACUUGUUUAAACAUUUUAAAAUGUCAUAAACAUCACAACACCUUAAACCCGACCCAAAACUUCAUUACAAACUUGCAUACGCCAUGCUCACGGGUCUCACUUCAUACAUCGCAUUUUUCCUAUUUUUUGACACUUUUGAUUUUUUUGAAAUUUUUAUCCAGCCUCACUAAAACAGCCAUAACUCUCGCGUUUUAAAACAUUUUGGAGCGAUUCUUGAGCCCACGCGAAGAUAACUUCCAGGGCUACAACUUUUGUCUCACGACAGUUUUCCAAAAUCAUAACACAUCAGUCCAGAAAUUUACACAAAGGUGGCUGUUCGGAAUUUGAUUAACAGUUUUGAUACACAUCUCCCGAACGCCAUAACUACCUCAUCCGGAAUCGGAAUUAGUCCGUUCCGGAGUCUAUGGAAAGCUAAAUCAGAGUACUACAACAUACCAAAAGCCCAGAAUUUUUAAAGCACAAAAACUGGACGAAAUUUCCCCUGACAUUGGCUGCCCCGAAACUGUCCAUUUUUGGUUAUAAAAAACGGAACUGUUUUCACCAAAUCAGUCACUACCCCAUGUAAACUCAACAUUUUUGAGUCCUACCCCUUGGGUUUACUAGCCAACACAUAUAUCUAGCACUACUUUUUGACGGAUCACAAAAAGAAGUCAUAGAUUUAAAACGGUGAAGUUUCAAAGUACUAGGAAAUUUCGGAUUCAAAACUAGAAAAUAAAUUUUCUUUAUUCUUUUGAUUCACCCAAAUCAACAUCAAAAAUGAGUAAAUUCAUACAUAAAUCCAUAUAUAUCACAUAGAUCUUAGGGUUUUAAACACCCAAAUCAAAAACCCUCAUCAUCAAUUUCAUAAAAAAAAAAAUUAGAGAGAGAUUAUACCUUUGCUUCAUCUUUCUUUUUUCUUCCAUGGAGAUCUUCCACUCCAUCUCACACAUGGGGGCUGCCGCCCCUCUCCUCCAUCUUCCAUGGCUCUCCCGAUCUCUCUCUUUCUCUUCCUUCUUUUUCUUCUUUCUUUUCUCUUUCUCUUACUUAUUCUUCUUUCCUUCUCUCUUUCUUAUCUCUUCUCUCUAUUUUUUUUUAUCCGGCCAUAUGGC
Molecule: long non-coding RNA, 2414 nt
Filed under: Panax ginseng (ginseng)
Lineage: Eukaryota; Viridiplantae; Streptophyta; Magnoliopsida; Apiales; Araliaceae
Description: long non-coding RNA (PGIN_LNC013172)
Source: RNAcentral